RNAcentral lists this small nucleolar RNA (138 nucleotides) under Ornithorhynchus anatinus (platypus). The record is from RNAcentral. Lineage: Eukaryota; Metazoa; Chordata; Mammalia; Monotremata; Ornithorhynchidae.
UCCCUCUCAGGGUCGCACCUGGAGAGUUUUCAGUUCUCUACCAGACUCGGCUAUGGGAAGGAGAGUCAAGCAGAGGUAUAUCCAAUCCAUUCCUAGCUUGGGCAGUGGCUAGUGAGUGGAAGGCAAUCUGCUACAGGU